RNAcentral lists this long non-coding RNA (1690 nucleotides) under Salmo salar (Atlantic salmon). RNAcentral describes it as "lncRNA (ENSSSAG00000110433.1)". The record is from RNAcentral. Lineage: Eukaryota; Metazoa; Chordata; Actinopteri; Salmoniformes; Salmonidae.
GUUAGAGUUAGGGUUAGUUAGGGUUGGAGUUAGGGUUAGAGUUAGGGUUAGUUAGGGUUAGUUAGGGUUAGAGUUAGGGUUAGAGUUAGGGUUAGAGUUAGGGUUAGAGUUAGGGUUAGUUAGGGUUAGAGUUAGGGGUAGAGUUAGGGUUAGUUAGGGUUAGAGUUAGGGUUAGUUAGGGUUAGAGUUAGGGUUAGUUAGGGUUAGAGUUAGGGUUAGAGUUAGAGUUAGGGUUAGUUAGGUUUAUGAUAAAUUCUGUUUUUUGGUGGUUAGGGUUAGGGUUAGUUAGGGUUAGAGUUAGGGUUAGGGUUAGUUAGGGUCAUAGUUAGGGUUAGUUAGGGUCAUAGUUAGGGUUAGUUAGGGUUAGAGUUAGGGUUAGUUAGGGUUAGAGUUAGGGUUUGAGUUAGGGUUAGUUAGGGUUAGAGUUAGAGUUAGGGUUAGUUAGGGUUAGGGUUAGUUAUUGUUAGUUAGGGUUAGAGUUAGAGUUAGGGUUAGUUAGGGUUAGAGUUAGGGUUACUAUUGAGCCACUAUAAACCAGUAAAGGCUUGGGGUUAGAGUUAGAGUUAGGUUUAAGGCCAGACUGGACUGUAGAGCCACUAUAAAUCAGUAAAGGGUUGGGGUUAGGUUUAAGGCCAGACUGGACUAUAGAGCCACUAUAAACCAGUAAAGGGUUGGGGUUAGGUUUAAGGCCAGACUGGACUAUAGAGCCACUAUAAACCAGUGAAACAUCCUGUCCUCUAACUGGGUGCCCUGCUGGCUCUGUGAAAGGUCCCUAGUGUGGCUCUGAAUUCCUUCUCCACUCAUCCCUCUCAUCCCAUGCUGACUUCCUUUCUUUAGACUGCUUUGAUGUCCGAGUCUCACCAAUAGAACAUGCCUCAUUCUGUCUGUCUGUCUUUCUGACUGUCUGUCCGCCUGUGUUUGUCUGUCUGGAGAAUACAGCCAUACAUAUCUCACUGCAGUUUCUUCAUAAUUCUACUACCUCUCGAUGUGAAAGUAUACAGUGAGUUGUAUGUUACAAUGAACUCUCACUCUGCAAGAAAUGCUUCAGUCUAGGUUCCAGUUAGAAGCUACAGUGUACUGUAUAUGUCAGUGGUUAGAGGAUUUGUUUAGUCCAAUGUGUUGGCGAUUUCAUUUAGGCUUUUCUGGACAUUCUAAUGUUCUGUUUUCUCUAUAUGUGGGAGCCAAUGAGAAAACCAUGCCAUAGUGAUGUCACCAGAGGACCAAGACAUUAUGUUACUCAGUUAUCUGCUGCAGUAAACUCCCAGCUCAGUGGUGUGAGCAGAGUAACAAUGUCCUCUGUUCUCUGGGUGUGUCCCCAAUGGCACCCUAUUCCCUAUGUAGUGCACUACUUUUAGCCAGGGCCCAUAGUGCACUAUAUAGGGAAUAGGGUUCCAUUUGGGACACAGCUCUAUCUCAUCUCCAGUCCUCACUUGACAUUGUUUCUGGAACACCUGCGAGAGAAGGCAAGAAACCUGGCCUGUAUAGACUAACCCUAAACCUCGUGCUCUGCACCCUGACUGUCCGAGGCCUUGGGUUCAUCAGCCACAGCUACCCGUGCAUGAUGUACCACUACACACAGAUCCACCUGCCUCAUGAACCCAAGGCCUCGGACAGGGUUGUUGCUAGUCUAACUGUUAUUAUCAAAUUCAGGAUUUUUGGACCGUUCAACGGGUCCUUUUCCUCAACAGUG